This is a long non-coding RNA of Onychostoma macrolepis, 1806 nucleotides long. RefSeq lists it as uncharacterized. The transcript is spliced from 4 exons. NCBI's taxonomy places the organism in Eukaryota, Metazoa, Chordata, Actinopteri, Cypriniformes, Cyprinidae. The record is from RefSeq and is a predicted model, not a curated record.
CCAUCAUCUUGUCCACAGCUGUGUGAUGGAUACAUGGGCCUGGUUAAAAUACCCUCCGCAGAUCCUCAUCGCCAAUUAGACGGCUGAUAGAUGGCAUUAUCAGUCACGUUAAUGAGCACGGACUGACACACGUGCCUGCUGUGGUCACCUGGCCUACGUGCCCCCGGUACCAUGCCGCACCACAUUUACCAGUUCCCAUCCAGCUGGGCACGUUAAACAUUGAUAGCCCACGAAUUUGAUCCUGCUUCCAUGAGGUCUAGUAUAGAACAUUCAGAUCAACCCAAACUCUGAUUUAAAGUCAAUUUACUUCCAAAGUAUCGCUAGCAUCCACUUCCACUAAUUCCAAAGCAUCACUUGCACUUAAACAGGGUACAAAAUAAAAGUAGAAAUAUUCUAUACAUAUAUUAUACACGGACACAUAUAUGCAGAUAUGUUUACAAAAUUCCCUUUCAAUUUUUUAUUUAUUUUAUUUUUCUGGGGGGGAAAAAAAAUCGAUGCAUUCAAUUCAAUUUAUUUUUCAUUCAUUGUCAUUUCCACCCAAACAAACAUUUUUGCCCCAAUAAAGUUUUUUUCAAAGUCAGUGAGACAGAGGUGCCAGUGAAGAGCUUGAGGUAAAAUAAGACGUGUUGUGUCGAGAAAACGAAAAGAAAUCAAGUGCCAAAAGUGAUCGCGGUUGAAGAAACUCCGAACUAUAUUCAUACACUAUGUUAAGUUCGUUCACAAACAGCACGUGGAGGUUGAACCUGAGGAGCUUGAUCAUUGCUGGCAAACCAUAAGAUGCAGCUUCAACUCAUUGGAUGACAAGUUUGCAGUUUUGUCCCAGCGCUCGAGAAUCACAGCUUUAUUAGGUCUACUUUUACAGUCUUCCCAGCUAACAAAUCCCCAAGAAGCAGACAUUGAGCUGAAGCUUGAGAGAGCAGGUAGGUCUAGUGUGUCCUUCAAACCUUACUUUGUUGUCCCUGCCUGCAGAAAUGAGAGGAAUCGCCCAAAGUAGGUCAGUCCUCGAUCUCCUGGGUCAAACACGCCUUCCUAUCUGCACAGCACGCGCUCGACAUGAUAGCGUCAGCUGUGACAGCGUUCUGCUGCUGCGGUCUGGAGCCUCGGGGUCCGGCGGUCGAGGGUUCGAGAUCCGCUGUUGGUCAUCAGAGGGAUAAGAAGGCCGGUUCGUGACCUGUCAUAGCCACAGGCGAGUGAAAAUAGCUCAAAGCCUUUGCUUGGGAUUCUGGGAUUGAGAUGCACGGGUGAAGUCGCGUUUGCGAAUUAUUCUCAAAGAUGUUGAGGCCCCUGCAAAUUUCCCAGAAUAAAGCUGUCAUCGAAUCCUUGUCACCGCUGUCACAUGACCAGAGUCUGCAGAUGCUUAGUCAAUUAAUUGGCUGGUAAAUUAAUUUUCUGUGCACGCCAUAUGUUUAAAGUUGUCAUUUAAAGGGAACAUAUCAUGGAAAACAAGUGUUGAUAAUGAUUUCACAUGCAAACUGUUAGCAAAUCAUAACUGAAGUUAUUAAAUCUUAAAGGUAAAGUUGCAGAAACUGAUGCUCCAUCAUGGCAAAAUUUCACUGGAAAGACAAAUAUGUACUUGCAUUUGCGUUCGCAUGUGAAUAGUGUUUCUUAGGAACACGUGUCAGAAAAAGGGUGGAAAAUUGUGAUCUAAAAAUAAAGUAUGACAGUUUAAAAGAAAACAAAGCCUUUAUUUAGGACGAUUGUGAUUGUGACAAAACAAUUGUGACAAUUUAUAUAUAUUGUGAAGUACAUCUAAAAGUACAUUGGUCAUGUUAUUAAUUGCAUUCAUUUUCUUUAUGCACAAUUCAA